UACGGAGGAUCCAAGCGUUAUCCGGAUUUAUUGGGUUUAAAGGGUGCGUAGGCUACUCGUUAAGUUAGAGGUGAAAUCCCGGUGCUCAACACCGGAACUGCCUCUGAUACUGGCGGGCUAGAGUAUAGUUGCUGUGGGCGGAAUGUGUGGUGUAGCGGUGAAAUGCUUAGAGAUCACACAGAACACCGAUUGCGAAGGCAGCUCACAAAGCUAUUACUGACGCUGAUGCACGAAAGCGUGGGGAGCAAACAGG
Molecule: ribosomal RNA, 253 nt
Filed under: uncultured bacterium
Lineage: Bacteria
Description: partial 16S ribosomal RNA
Rfam family: Bacterial small subunit ribosomal RNA
Source: RNAcentral